Long non-coding RNA from Alosa alosa (allis shad), 536 nucleotides. RefSeq lists it as uncharacterized. NCBI's taxonomy places the organism in Eukaryota, Metazoa, Chordata, Actinopteri, Clupeiformes, Clupeidae. The record is from RefSeq and is a predicted model, not a curated record. The transcript has 4 exons.
CAAGAAGAGUCAUACUAGUGGAUAUUUUCUUUGCUGGGACACGGUUGCGCUGAACCAUCUCGAGUAAGUGAUAUUUAUUAAUAUAUUGCGACAUUCACAAUAGCUAAACAUUGGCCUUUGUGGUUUUAUAAUCAUCAUGUUUAUUAAUUAUAAUGACGUUGUUUGAUAUUAGGACUAACGUUAACGUUAGUGCAACCAGAGACGUUUGUCAUUUUGUGCAACAGUUUGUGCAAAGUUAACGUUAUUGUUAGCUGUGAUGCUCAUAUGAGUCUGUAGCCUAUCUGAUUUAAAAUGGGAUAGCAAUUUCGGCAGAAUAUGUUAUGCGUCAACUUUUAUCGGCUGGAUUCUAGCAUCUAACUUUACGAUUGCCUCUGUUGGGUUUGCUUGAUCAACCAUCGUUUCGGGGACUCUGAUGACAGUGAAGAGCCAGAAAAUGGUGACUUUGCAUCUCUGAGGUACCUUUCAACUCGCCUGGUAUAUCAGUUGAAGCCUCAAGCCCAAGCCAAUUGCACUGGCAAACUCCACCAUCUGGCCGA